This 774-nucleotide long non-coding RNA is filed under the name Homo sapiens (human). Its description in RNAcentral is "HSALNT0404969". Lineage: Eukaryota; Metazoa; Chordata; Mammalia; Primates; Hominidae. The record is from RNAcentral.
UGCACCCCACAUGAGCCCUGUUGGGAGGGCUGCCAGAUGCAGGGAGACGCAGAGGCGCGGGUACACAUUGCUCCACCAGCCAGACCCAGAGCUUCCUAGUGGGGACCAGUCUGGAGCUUGAAAUCCCAGCCAUCACUCAAGGGGUUUCACUUGUGCCAACACCUUUCUUUUGGAGGGGGUGUGUUGGGGGUGUCCAGUGACAGGGUUAAUCCCCACAGUCCAUGAGGCCAGUGAUGUCAUGGGCUCCUGGGGCCCAUGGCACUGAGACCAGGUCCAGCACGAAUUCACCUGCCCUUCCUUCAGUGCCUUCCAACACCACCCAGCCACCACGGCCAGGCUGGAAGGACAGCACACCCCAGCCACUCAGGAGUCACUUCGGACAGCCCACCUAGGGGCUUAAGUCCCAGUGGGACAUGCCCACCCAGGCUGCCUCAGCUGCCCACGGGGCCUCCAACCACAGCCACAGGCUCCACAGGAAAACCCAACACGAUGACUGCCCCUCGCAGGCCACAGUCAGCCCGGCCCCAGGAGAGAGACCCGUGGAGCCCUAUGUCUCAGCAGGCAAGACCACCCUGGCCUGCCAUGCCUCCAUCCUAUGCCUAUAAAAACCCAAGACCCUAGCAAGGCAGAGACAGAAGCCUCUGUGUGGGGAGAGGAACACACUGGUGGAAGAAGACAAGCUGCUGGACAUCCCGAGAAUGUUGCCUGACUCCAGGGGAAAACCAUCUCCCCUCUGGCUCCCCCAUCUGCUGAGAGCUACUUCCACUCAAUAAA